AUUGAACGCUGGCGGCAUGCCUUACACAUGCAAGUCGAACGGCAGCACGGACUUCGGUCUGGUGGCGAGUGGCGAACGGGUGAGUAAUACAUCGGAACGUGCCUGGUAGUGGGGGAUAACCACUCGAAAGAGUGGCUAAUACCGCAUGAGAUCUACGGAUGAAAGCAGGGGAUCGCAAGACCUUGUGCUACUAGAGCGGCCGAUGGCAGAUUAGGUAGUUGGUGGGAUAAAAGCUUACCAAGCCAACGAUCUGUAGCUGGUCUGAGAGGACGAUCAGCCACACUGGGACUGAGACACGGCCCAGACUCCUACGGGAGGCAGCAGUGGGGAAUUUUGGACAAUGGGCGAAAGCCUGAUCCAGCAAUGCCGCGUGCAGGAUGAAGGCCUUCGGGUUGUAAACUGCUUUUGUACGGAACGAAAAGCUUCGGGUUAAUACCCUGGAGUCAUGACGGUACCGUAAGAAUAAGCACCGGCUAACUACGUGCCAGCCGCCGCGGUAA
This 500-nucleotide ribosomal RNA is filed under the name uncultured bacterium. Its description in RNAcentral is "partial 16S ribosomal RNA". It matches the Rfam family "Bacterial small subunit ribosomal RNA", at positions 30 to 523 of the family's 1533-position model. The record is from RNAcentral.